Molecule: small RNA, 1087 nt
Filed under: Pan troglodytes (chimpanzee)
Lineage: Eukaryota; Metazoa; Chordata; Mammalia; Primates; Hominidae
Description: retained intron
Source: RNAcentral
GGGAAGCAUGACCUCAUGUUUUGUCAGAUGCACCAAAUUUUCAAGAGAAAAGCCAGAGAGCUGAAUAUUUGUGUGAAAUUUCCUGAUUUUUAAAAGUUGGCAAUUGUAUCAAAUUAGGAUUAUACUCCACUAAACAUAACAUAAAAUCAAAAAGAACAUGCAGCAUAAAUGAGAGAAAUGUUUUCCUUCAUUAGAGGCAGUUCAGUGGCUCCACAGAGAUCAGGGACCCAGGUUCCUUCCAGCUUUCUGCUCUAUCAUUCCUAGGGGGUGACCUUUAUCUUCAUGGCCCAGUGUGACUGCAAGAGCUCUAGCAUCCAAGUUCCCAGCAGAAGGAUGGAGGACUGACUGGAAAAACAAGGAGACACAGGGUAUGCAUCGGAGUCCCCUCUUGUUGCCCAGGCUGGAGUGCAGCAGCAUGAUUACAGCUCACAUCAGCCUCGACCUCCCGGGCUCAAGCUAUCCUCCUACCUCAGCCUCCCAAGUAGCUGGGACUAUAGGAUCUUUCUGCUGAUGCAGCUGUUAAGAGUGUUUCAUAAACUGUGACAACACUGAGACUUGAAGAAGCUGAGUGAGAAGGCCAUGCAGAUAUCUUGGAGAAGUGCAUUCCAGGCAGAGGAAAAGCCAGUGCAGAGACACUGAAGCAGGGCAUGACUGAUGUGUAUAAGGAGCAUCAUAUACAUGAUCAUCUACAGUCCACUGAGAAUAGCAGACGAAAGGCCAGGUGCAGUGCAUGUAAUCCCAGCACUUUGGGAGACUGAGAUGGGAAGAUCGCUUGAGGCCAGGAGUGCAAGACCAGCCUGGGCAACACAGCAAGACCUUGACUCUACUAAAAAAAAAAAAGGAUCCUUCAACUUCAACAAUAAUAACACGAGGGAAGUGAAGAAAAACACUUUCUAAGGAAAUCUCUCUCUGAGCUACCAUCCUGCUAGGGAGAGCCUGAAAGCAGAAUGCUGACUUGACUAGCUCUGGUCAAUGAAAGAAAUCACUAGUGGAAAGGCUACCAGGGGGCUUUCUCAAAAGAGAGGGACAGUAAACUGCAAGAUGAACAACUCAAUGCCAUCCAGGUCUGGAUGAGAAAGAACAGUCG